Molecule: ribosomal RNA, 458 nt
Filed under: uncultured bacterium
Lineage: Bacteria
Description: bacterial SSU rRNA
Rfam family: Bacterial small subunit ribosomal RNA
Source: RNAcentral
AUUGAACGCUGGCGGCAUGCCUUACACAUGCAAGUCGAACGGCAGCGGACCUUCGGGUGCCGGCGAGUGGCGAACGGGUGAGUAAAGUAUCGGAACGUACCUUUCAGUGGGGGAUAACGUAGCGAAAGUUACGCUAAUACCGCAUAUUCUGUGAGCAGGAAAGCAGGGGAUCGCAAGACCUUGCGCUGAUUGAGCGGCCGAUAUCAGAUUAGCUAGUUGGUGAGGUAAAGGCUCACCAAGGCGACGAUCUGUAGCGGGUCUGAGAGGAUGAUCCGCCACACUGGAACUGAGACACGGUCCAGACUCCUACGGGAGGCAGCAGUGGGGAAUUUUCGGCAAUGGGCGAAAGCCUGACCGAGCGACGCCGCGUGAGGGACGAAGGCCUUCGGGUUGUAAACCUCUGUCUGGGGGGAUGAGAACGGACGGUACCCCCGGAGGAAGCCCCGGCUAACUACGUG